ACUGCUCAGUAACACGUGGACAACCUACCCUUGGGUCUGGCAUAAUCCUGGGAAACUGGGUAUAAUUCCGGAUAGGUCACAGAUGCUGGAAUGCACUGUGGCCGAAAGCUCCGGCGCCCAAGGAUGGGUCUGCGGCCUAUCAGGGUUGUAGUGGGUGUAACGGACCUACUAGCCUACGACGGGUACGGGUUGUGAGAGCAAGAGCCCGGAGAUGGAUUCUGAGACACGAAUCCAGGCCCUACGGGGUGCAGCAGGCGCGAAAACUUUACAAUGCGGGAAACCGUGAUAAGGGAAUCUCGAGUGCCAGCAUAUAAUGUUGGCUGUCCAGAUGCCUAAAAAGCAUCUGUUAGCAAGGGCCGGGCAAGACCGGUGCCAGCAGCCGCGGUAAUACGAU
This 394-nucleotide ribosomal RNA is filed under the name uncultured archaeon. Its description in RNAcentral is "bacterial SSU rRNA". It matches the Rfam family "Archaeal small subunit ribosomal RNA", at positions 85 to 480 of the family's 1478-position model. The record is from RNAcentral.